RNAcentral lists this ribosomal RNA (402 nucleotides) under uncultured bacterium. Its description in RNAcentral is "bacterial SSU rRNA". It matches the Rfam family "Bacterial small subunit ribosomal RNA", at positions 355 to 774 of the family's 1533-position model. The record is from RNAcentral.
UGGGGAAUAUUGCACAAUGGGGGAAACCCUGAUGCAGCGACGCCGCGUGAGUGAAGAAGUAUUUCGGUAUGUAAAGCUCUAUCAGCAGGGAAGAAAAUGACGGUACCUGACUAAGAAGCCCCGGCUAACUACGUGCCAGCAGCCGCGGUAAUACGUAGGGGGCAAGCGUUAUCCGGAUUUACUGGGUGUAAAGGGAGCGUAGACGGCGCGGCAAGUCUGAAGUGAAAGCCCGGGGCUUAACCCCAGGACUGCUUUGGAAACUGCCAUGCUGGAGUGCUGGAGAGGUAAGUGGAAUUCCUAGUGUAGCGGUGAAAUGCGUAGAUAUUAGGAGGAACACCAGUGGCGAAGGCGGCUUACUGGACAGUAACUGACGUUGAGGCUCGAAGGCGUGGGGAGCAAACA